GAAUGGCUGCAGUAUAUUAACUGUACAAAGGUAGCAUAAUAAAUAGUUUUUUAAAUGAAAACUGGGAUGAAAGAAGUGAUGAAAUUUAUACUGUCUUGGAUUAAAUUAUUGAAUUUAGUAAUUAAGUAAAAAUACUUAAAUAAAAGUAUGGGACGAGAAGACCCUAUGGAA
Molecule: ribosomal RNA, 171 nt
Filed under: Pheidole yeensis
Lineage: Eukaryota; Metazoa; Arthropoda; Insecta; Hymenoptera; Formicidae
Description: partial large subunit ribosomal RNA
Source: RNAcentral